This 258-nucleotide unclassified non-coding RNA is filed under the name Rosellinia sp. RNAcentral's name for it is "partial contains 5.8S ribosomal RNA, internal transcribed spacer 2, and large subunit ribosomal RNA". The record is from RNAcentral. Lineage: Eukaryota; Fungi; Ascomycota; Sordariomycetes; Xylariales; Xylariaceae. RNAcentral also lists the same sequence under 1 other name.
AACGCACAUUGCGCCCAUUAGUAUUCUAUUGGGCAUGCCUGUUCGAGCGUCAUUUCAACCCUUAAGCCCCAGUUGCUUAGCGUUGGGAGCCUACGGAGACGUAGCUCCUCAAAGUCAGUGGCGGAGUCGGCUCAGCACUCUAGACGUAGUAGAAUCUUUUUAUCUCGCCUGUAGUGUGUGCCGGUCCCCUGCCGUAAAACCCCCCCAAUUUAUCAAAAGGUUGACCUCGGAUCAGGUAGGAAUACCCGCUGAACUUAA